RNAcentral lists this ribosomal RNA (253 nucleotides) under uncultured bacterium. Its description in RNAcentral is "partial 16S ribosomal RNA". It matches the Rfam family "Bacterial small subunit ribosomal RNA", at positions 524 to 776 of the family's 1533-position model. The record is from RNAcentral.
GACAGGGGUCUCGAGCGUUAAUCGGAAUUACUGGGCUUAAAGGGUGUGUAGGCCGGCCCGCAAGUGACUUGUGAAAUCCCCCGGCUCAACCGGGGAACAGCUCGUCAUACUGCGGGUCUUGAGGAAGGUAGGGGUUGCCAGAACUGUAGGUGGAGCGGUGAAAUGCGUAGAUAUCUACAGGAAUGCCGAUGGUGAAGACGGGCAACUGGGCCUUUCCUGACGCUGAGGCACGAAAGCGUGGGGAGCAAACAGG